AUUAAAUAUCUUUUGAAUGAGUUAUCCACAUUGCAAUGUUUUGAAAUGGGGCUUUUAUUUUGAAGGGUUGUCAUUACCAUACGAAAGUCACGUAAUUGUUUGUGCUGCUGGCAGGUUGGAACAGCGGGCUUGUUUGAAAUGGAAAAGCGUCCGGGUAGCUUUUGAUAGAGAAGAACACGAAGACGAAGCAGCUGCUUUAUAAGUGGGAUGCGCUGUUGAGCGCAACAUCCCGAGGGGUUCGUGCUAAUUGUACGGACAUUGUGACAGCUGGUUAAAUUGCACGCCUUGAGAAGGCAAUAACAAGAUGUAUGUCUGGAGAAGUGCUUUGUUGUCAUAACGAGAGCUCCAAAUAAAGACUCUUCACACCUACCACCCUUCUCUUCAGACCACUCAGACCCACACCUACCACCCUUCUCUUCAGACCACUCAGACCCACACCUACCACCCUUCUCUUCAGACCACUCAGACCCACACCUACCACCCUUCUCUUCAGACCAUUCAGAUCCACACCUACCACCCUUCUCUUCAGACCACUCAGACCCACACCCACCACCCUUCUCUUCAGACCACUCUGACCCACACCUACCACCCUUCUCUUCAGACCACUCAGACCCACACCCACCACCCUUCUCUUCAGACCACUCAGACCCACGCCUACCACCCUUCUCUUCAGACCACUCAGACCCACACCCACCACCCUUCUCUUCAGACCACUCAGACCCACACCUACCACCCUUCUCUUCAGACCUACGGCUGACAUCUUUAGUCUCUCUAUCUCUCUCUCUUUCUUUCUAUCCAUCCUCUUGAUACAGAUCUCUUGAUCCAUCCUCUGGCUGCAUUUUAAGUAAGUGGAGACUUUUUCUCUUUUAAUUCAGCUUUCUUCCCAUUUCUUGUGUUUUCAAAAACAAACCAGGUUGUAGUUUUAAAAUGCAAACCAACUGGAGGAGAUUAUUCAAAAAUGGUAUCUUAAAAUAAGUAACAAAAUCCCACUGGCCCAGGUAUUGUAUCAUCUGUAACCAAAUCCCACUGGCCCAGGUACUGUUUCAUCUGUAACCAAAUCCCACUGGCCCGGGUAUUGUUUCAUCUGUAACCAAAUCCCACUGGCCCAGGUAUUGUAUCAUCUGUAACCAAAUCCCACUGGCCCAGGUACUGUUUCAUCUGUAACCAAAUCCCACUGGCCCGGGUAUUGUUUCAUCUGUAACCAAAUCCCACUGGCCCGGUAGUCAUCUGUAACCAAAUCCCACUGGCCCAGGUACUGUUUCAUCUGUAACCAAAUCCCACUGGCCCGGGUAUUGUUUCAUCUGUAACCAAAUCCCACUGGCCCGGGUACUGUUUUAUCUGUAACCAAAUCCCACUGGCCCAGGUACUGUUUCAUCUGUAACCAAAUCCCACUGGCCCAGGUACUGUUUCAUCUGUCAACUAAUGACACUCAUUGCACUGUGGUCCUGAGACUAUGGCAGGUAGCCUACAUCUAGGUUACAAUAGUAGUCAACAGUUAGUAUGACACAUUACGUUACAGUGUGGCAGGUUAAAGCCUCAGGCUUAGUUUUAUUACUAGACGAGGUCCAUUAUCAGAUCUGACCCAUAUGAUUCAGUCAUUGAAACCCAUGUCACCUUCAAACACAUACACAGCACUUCUUUAGUGGGUUUGAGAAGGUUCAGGGCUUGAUGUUUAAUGUGAGCUCAACGUUAGCUGCUUAGUUGGCCAAACUCUCUUUAUUAAUUGCUAUUGUUAGUAUAGUUUUUAUCUCACAGUCUCUAGUUCUCCUUCUCAAUUCAAGCCCAUUGCCAGAGUGGACCUCCCUGGUGCAUUCCAUCAGUCAAAGUUGUGUAUAGGGCUAUUCUUUCUGACACUUUUGUAUCCACCUUUCAUGCAGAAUGUCUCCUGGCUCCAGCCGUAAGCUGUGUCCUAGUUGUAACACAUCAAUAGGAGUAGCAUCAAAGAAGUGCACGUUCUGUGGUGCAACAAUACAGCUAAAGGUCAAGUUAGAGGCCCAAAAAAGGAAGGCUACAGAUGAAUGGGAAAAUAAGACAAUGAAACAUGGAAGGUAUGCAACCUUGGUUAAUGCAGCAAACAAGCUGGUAAGCUUUAUUAUGUUUUCCUCUAAAAAGAUUUCUGCAUUUCUAGCUUAGGGAUAUGAUACUGUAACGCCCUGGCCAUAGAGAGGGUUUUUUGUUCUUUAUUUUGGUUAGGCCAGGGUGUUACAUUGGGUGGGCGUUCUAUGUUCCUUUUUCUAUGUUUUGGUAUUUCUUUGGUGUUACAUUGGGUGGGCGUUCUAUGUUCCUUUUUCUAUGUUUUGGUAUUUCUUUGUUUUGGGCCAUGUGUGUGGCUCCCAAUCAGGCACAGGUGGUGCUCAUUGCUGCUGAUUGGGAGUCACACAUAAGGAGCAUGUUUUUCCUUUGGGUUUUGUGGGUAAUUGUUUCUUGUUUAGUGUGGUUGCACCUGACAGGACUGUUGGCUGUCAGUUUCCUUGUUUUUGUAUAGUGUUCUUUCCAAUUAAAUUGAAGGAUGAAUACUAACUCUGCUGCAUUUUGGUCCUUUCCUGAAGACAGCCCUUACAGAUACCCUCUAUGCACUUAUUUGUUGUUGUCUCAUUGUGUCAUUUAAGAGUGUAAAUCUAAAUGUCAUUAUUUGACUGAUAUUUGUUGUGUUUCUGGAAGUUAUUUUGUCAUUAAUGAUUCCAGGUACAUAGGUUCCACAAGGUAGGAGUGUACCCCCUGCUACACUUUGUCGUCGACUGCACUGUGUCCUCACAGUGGUAUGACGAGUCAGACCUCAAUGGCAACAAUCCAAAGGUUGUAUGAGGCAAUUGUGAAAGGUAUUUGGACAGAAAUAUGUAUGUUUGUCUACCUUAAUAAGUCUCUAUCCCUCAACCACCACAUCCGUCAGACUGUAAAAAACGAAUUAUUCCACUUAGACAAAUUCGCCAAAGUCAGCCCCUCCCUCUCCUGUACUGCGGGCCGAACCUCUCAUCCAUGUUUUCUUCUUCUCCCGAACUCACUACUCCCCAGCACUAACAGACUCCCUCGAUAAGCUCCAAAUGGUUCAAAACUCAGCAGCCCAUCUUCUAACCCACACUAAAUCAUCCUGGCAGCAUAUCACCCCCAUCCUCUGUGAACUCCACUGGCUCCCUGUCUCCCACCGCAUGAAUUACAAGAUCCUCCUGGCCGAAAAAAGCUCUCCCCCACCUUGCUACCCCUUACCUCUCUGACCUUCUCUCCUACCAGACCUCAUGCUCUUUCCGCUCAACCACAGUUGGCCAACUUGUCAUUGGGGCGGCAGCGUAGCCUAGUGGUUAGAGCGUUGGACUAGUAACCGAAAGGUUGCAAGAUCAAAUCCCUGAGCUGAACAAGGUACAAAUCUGUUGUUCUGCCACUGUUCCUAGGCCAUCAUUGAAGAUAAGAAUUUGUUCUUAACUGACUUGCCUAGUUAAAUAAAGGUAAAAUAAAUAAAAAAUACCCAGGUCCAAGCUCCAGAGUUUCAGUGACAGGGCCUUGUCCAGGGUUGCUCCUAGGCUCUGGAACUCCCUUCCUCCAGCCAUCUGUGACUCUAAGUCCAUCAUCUUUCAGUCCUGCCUAAAAACCCACCUCUUCACCAUGGCCUACCACUGUUUCACACAUAUGCGCAACACCUGCUAUCUCACUCACACAUCACACCAUUUCCUUGGGCCCUUCUUACCUCUGUUUAUACCUGGUUCUAACAUGCAUUAUAUGUCCUGAUCUUGUCCACAGUCUGAUUAUUCCCACAUUUUCAGACAGGUGUAGACGAUUAAAAGAAGCAUUUUGAUCAGAUCUUUCUGACCACGUCUGGAGUUGACAGUAAAACCAUUUAAAUCAUCCUGCCUUCUAAAAUCAUUGACAGGUGGCACCAUUGACUUAUGGAAUAUAUAUGUCUUAAAAUAAAUAAAAAAGUAUUAUUUUGAAAGAAUAUCUGUCAAAGAAUUAGCAUACAAGGCGGGACCAGUAUAUCUGUUCACAAUGCGGACACAGUGGACUGAUAAGACCAUCAGAAUGUGGACAAGAUCAGGACAAAGGACGCAUGUUUGCACCAAAAAAUUUUGUUUAAUGUUUUUCUUCCUUUUCUUUAGUCUGCUGUUGUUUAGUUAGAUUAUUGAUUGUUUGUUAGUUUCUACAAUUGUAAAGCUAUGUAUGUUUCAUGUAUAAUUAUUGUUAUUAUUAAAGUAGAGGAGUUAGUUCAGGCAAGCAACAUUUCAACACAUUCUUUUCACAUAUCCUGUGUAGAAGUUUAUUUAUAAAAUGGGUGGUUCCAGCCCUGAAUGCUGAUUGUCUGAAUGCCUUGGUAUAUCAGACCGUAUGACAAAACAUUUAUUUUUACUGCUCUAAUUACAUUGGUAGCCAGUUUAUAAUAGCAAUAAGGCACCUCAGGGGUUUGUGGUAUAUGGCCAAUAUAUCACAGUUAAGGGCUGUAUCCAGGCACUCCGCAUUGCGUCAUGCAUAAGAACAGCCCUUAGCCGUGGUAUAUUGCCAUAUACCACACCUCGGGCCUUAUUGCUUAAAUAUACCGGAAUUUCUGGACUAUUAAGCGCACCUGAAUAUAAGCCGCACCCACUGAAUUAAAAUGUUUUUUUUAUUUUGAACAUAAAUAAGCCGCACAUGUCUAUAAGCCGCAGGUGCCUACCGGUACAUUGAAACAAAUGAACUUUACACAGGCUUUAACGAAAAACGGCUUGUAACAAAAAUAAAUAGGCUUUAACGAAACACGGCCUGUAACAAAAAUAAAUAGGCUUUAACAAAACACGGCUUGUAAAAAAAUAAAAAAAAUAGCAGUAAGCUUUAGUUGUCUUUUUGCCCUGAGUCAAUUCCUCACGCUGCUGUUUCCAACGUCUUAUCAUCGACUCAUUAAUACCAAGCUCCCGUGCAGCAGCUCUAUUUCCUUUUCCAACAGCCAGAUCAAUCGCCUUCAACUUGAAAGCUGCAUCAUAUGCAUUUCUCCGUGUCUUUGCCAUGAUGAGGGUGACGAAAUGACUACCGUAAUCAGAAUGAUGGGAAGUUUGAGAGCGCUCGAUUUAAUCUAAACAGUAAACAAAAAAGUUGUUUGACCUUAACCCGUUCGGCAAUUUCAUUGGUCUAAUGAAAGCUUCAUGCCGCCAAAAAACUGAGCACGUCACAGAAUGUGUUUUUUUGGAGAGAAAAAAAUUGAAAGUGGGAAAAAUCCAUAUAUUAGCCACUUCAUUGUUUAAGCCGCGAGGUUCAAAGCCUGGGAAAAAAAGUUGCGGCUUAUAGUCCGGAAUUUACGGUACAUGCUCACCUCUGCCAAUUGGAAACUGUUGCCCACUUGUCUGUCCCAUUUCCUUAAUAUGUUCUAUUUCACAGUGGCAAUCAACACCCAUACCCCCACACUACAACCCUCCAACCCUCCUCAACCAGGUUGAACUCCCAAUAUCCCCCACCACUCAGGAGCCCAGCUACACCCCCAUCCUCAACCAGGUUGAACCCCCGAUAUCCCCCACCACUCAGGAGACCAGCUACACCCCCAUCCUCAACCAGGUUGAACCCCCAAUAUCCCCCACCACUCAGGAGACCAGCUACACCCACACCAAACCAAAGAAGACGGAGAGAAAGUCCUGUCACCCUCAAAAAACCCUCCAACUCACUGAGCAUGACAGUCAACCCCAUCCAAUCCUAUCCAACCCCAUCCAACCCCAUCCUACCCCAUCCAACCCCAUCCUACCUACCAACCCCAUCCAAUCCUAUCCAACCCCAUCCAACCCCAUCCUACCCCAUCCAACCCCAUCCUACCUACCAACCCCAUCCAACCCCAUCCCAUCCUACCCCAUCCAACCCCAUCAUACCUACCAACCCCAUCCUACCCCACCCCAUCCCAUCCUACCCUAUCCUACCCCAUCCAACCCCAUCCAACCCCAUCCUAAUCCUACCCACACC
This 5904-nucleotide long non-coding RNA is filed under the name Salmo salar (Atlantic salmon). Its description in RNAcentral is "lncRNA (ENSSSAG00000098825.1)". The record is from RNAcentral. Lineage: Eukaryota; Metazoa; Chordata; Actinopteri; Salmoniformes; Salmonidae.